GUGAAUCAUCAAAUCUUUGAACGCAUAUUGCACCAUCUGGUAUUCCGGGGAGUAUGCCUAUUUGAGGGUCAUUUGGAAUAAUAUAAAUUUCGAGAUUUUCUUGAAUUCAACAAUGGGUCGGUACAGCUUGCGUGUGGUGGUCGCCUAAAAUGCAAGACAAGCCCAUUUCUUGGAUUGUGUGAUAAUUCCA
RNAcentral lists this unclassified non-coding RNA (190 nucleotides) under Archaeospora sp. RNAcentral describes it as "partial contains 5.8S ribosomal RNA and internal transcribed spacer 2". The stretch from base 1 to 71 matches the Rfam family "5.8S ribosomal RNA", at positions 84 to 154 of the family's 154-position model. The record is from RNAcentral. Lineage: Eukaryota; Fungi; Glomeromycota; Glomeromycetes; Archaeosporales; Archaeosporaceae.